GUGUUCCCUUUGGUAGCACAUAUACUAAAAUUGGAACAAUACAGAAAAGAUUAACAUGGCUCCUGCACAAGGAUAACAUGCAAACUCUUGAAGCAUUCCAUAUUUUU
Small nuclear RNA from Dipodomys ordii (Ord's kangaroo rat), 107 nucleotides. The record is from Ensembl. Lineage: Eukaryota; Metazoa; Chordata; Mammalia; Rodentia; Heteromyidae.